AGUGAACGCUGGCGGUAGGCCUAACACAUGCAAGUCGAACGGCAGCACAGUAAGAGCUUGCUCUUACGGGUGGCGAGUGGCGGACGGGUGAGGAAUACAUCGGAAUCUACUUUUUCGUGGGGGAUAACGUAGGGAAACUUACGCUAAUACCGCAUACGACCUACGGUUGAAAGCAGGGGAUCUUCGGACCUUGCGCGAUUGAAUGAGCCGAUGUCGGAUUAGCUAGUUGGCGGGGUAAAGGCCCACCAAGGCGACGAUCCGUAGCUGGUCUGAGAGGAUGGUCGGCCACACUGGAACUGAGACACGGUCCAGACUACUACGGGAGGCAACAGUGGGGAAUAUUGGACAAUGGGCGCAAGCCUGAUCCAGCCAUACCGCGUGGGUGAAGAAGGCCUUCGGGUUGUAAAGCCCUUUUGUUGGGAAAGAAAAGCAGCAGGUUAAUACCCCGCUGUUCUGACGGUACCCAAAGAAUAAGCACCGGCUAACUUCGUG
RNAcentral lists this ribosomal RNA (492 nucleotides) under uncultured bacterium. Its description in RNAcentral is "partial 16S ribosomal RNA". It matches the Rfam family "Bacterial small subunit ribosomal RNA", at positions 29 to 507 of the family's 1533-position model. The record is from RNAcentral.